Molecule: long non-coding RNA, 469 nt
Filed under: Glycine max (soybean)
Lineage: Eukaryota; Viridiplantae; Streptophyta; Magnoliopsida; Fabales; Fabaceae
Description: uncharacterized LOC100500404, transcript variant 2 (LOC100500404)
Source: RNAcentral
AAGAGUGAUCUGAAAGCCCAGUUUUGAGAGGGUAAUAUUUGAGAAUUGAGGGAACCUUGUUAGAACUUAGAAGGGACAUUUUCUGGGCAAAGGUGGUUAAUAAUGUUGAUAAGGAUUGAGGAUACAGAUUUUGCCACACUUCAAUAUGCGGUUCAGAAGCCUUCUGACAACGGUGUGUGAAGCAAGAAUUAUCAACCAAGGUUCCUGCAAGCUAUGUGACAUUUUAGAUUCCAAUGCACAUAAAAUUUAUGUAUAUAAAGAUGGACACUGAAAUCAAAUCAGGCAUUUCAUUUAGUCCUUUGUACUGUAUACUAGUAGUAUGUUGCUGGCCAUCAUUUGUUGAAAACUUAAAAUGUUAGAAAUAGUAAAAGGGUGACAAAUUGUAAUAAUGUAUUUAUCAAACAUUUAAUCAGCUCGUUUGAAUUCACGAUUUGAUGUGGUAUGAGAUGAACUAAUUAAUUUUUUUUUC